GCCCGUCUAGCUCAGUCGGUAGAUCGCAAGGCUCUUAACCUUGUGGUCCUGGGUUCAAGUCCCAGGGUGGGCG
Molecule: transfer RNA, 73 nt
Organism: Ipomoea nil (Japanese morning glory)
Lineage: Eukaryota; Viridiplantae; Streptophyta; Magnoliopsida; Solanales; Convolvulaceae
Rfam family: tRNA
About the family: Transfer RNA (tRNA) molecules are approximately 80 nucleotides in length. Their secondary structure includes four short double-helical elements and three loops (D, anti-codon, and T loops). Further hydrogen bonds mediate the characteristic L-shaped molecular structure. tRNAs have two regions of fundamental functional importance: the anti-codon, which is responsible for specific mRNA codon recognition, and the 3' end, to which the tRNAs corresponding amino acid is attached (by aminoacyl-tRNA synthetases). tRNAs cope with the degeneracy of the genetic code in two manners: having more than one tRNA (with a specific anti-codon) for a particular amino acid; and 'wobble' base-pairing, i.e. permitting non-standard base-pairing at the 3rd anti-codon position.
Source: Rfam